This is a non-coding RNA of Meleagris gallopavo (turkey), 3827 nucleotides long. Lineage: Eukaryota; Metazoa; Chordata; Aves; Galliformes; Phasianidae. The record is from RefSeq and is a predicted model, not a curated record.
CGCGUGCGCGGUGAGGUGUUGGGAUCAGUCACGUGGUGCCGGGGGAGUUGGGAGAGCGGUGUGCGGGGGUUGGUGGGUGUGCGAGGGGAAGCGGUGGAACCUGGCGUGCAUCAGGGGCGGCAGGUGGAGAUCUCUGCCUGAGAGAUCACUGGGGCUGUGGAGGAGCUGUUGCUGAGCCACGCUGACCUUGGGAGGUGUUCAGCUGGGGGCUGUAAGGCAGGGACUGCUGUCUCUUGGCUGGGCGAAGGGCGUUCCUGAGCAGCACUGAGCGCUGCCCCUUCCCUCCUGCUGCAUGGGGAGCCUUGCCCUGCUCCCAGUCCCUGUCAGGAGCUCCCUGGGGUCUCGUGCUUUGGCUCCUGUAACACUCGGCUUACAAACCCUACUAGCCGCGAGGCUUUGUGACCUGAAACCAAGUCAGCCACGUAUCUCGUAGGGAGAUGAGCAGCUCUUACAUGCAGCUCUGCUGCUCCUUGCUGUGAAUUUAGUUUCUGGUCUGAGAAAAAUCCAUUUGUAAGGGGAACAAGGUGAGCUGUGUCCAGAAUGGCUUUGUUGUGAAUGAAUUGAGCCAAUCUCAUCGCCAUUUCUGGUAGUGUAACAGCUUGCAGAUAAGGAUAAGGCAACGUGUGUCAUAUACCUUGAUUUUUAGUAGAACUUCUGAUGUUGGCUUGCAGGAUUUUCUAAUAAUAAACUGAAAAACCAGUCUCCGUGAUACUGCUCUAGCGGGGUUGCAGAUCUAGUUGUGGAAAAAUGUACUUGGUAUCAGCACUUGUCUAGGGAACUGCCUUCAGUCCAUUGCUCAUCCGCAGUGAAACAGGCCUUGUAAUUGCUGUAUUUGAAGAUGAGGUCAAGUCUGAGCUUGUAUGAAUGCACUACCAGAGAACCAGAAUGCAGAAAGGGGAACUCUAUGGAUAAAAGUAACAGGUGUAGUACUGUAUGCUUCGUAACUGUGGAGUUGAUGGUAUUGGUCUUAGGAAAAGCAGCUGUCUGUGCUGCAGGAAAGGAUGGAGGGGCUGCUGUGGGCUGUAAGCUGAGUGAGUAUCAACAUCUUGCUGUUGGAGGGGUGAAUGCCAUGCAGGUCUGUGUAAGUAAGAAAACUGCUAAUAAGGCACAGGCAUCCUGCUAUGCUGAGCUGUGCUAAAACAGUAUGUCCAGUACUGGGCUCCACGUGAGAGAAAUUUGUAUGAUUUAGAGAAAAAAGUAAAAGUAAUGAUCAGUCUUUGAACACAUGACUUCUACAGAGCCAGAGAGAACAUAAAGCCACAGACAUGAUUGACAGUGAAAUUCUACACAGGUGUUUUAAACAUUGUCUCAUUCGAGACAUUCCCUAGGAGCCAGCCCUGCUAUUUCCUGAGCAUGUCUUCCACAACCAGCCUGUGCUCUGCUGCCACAGGAGCUGUGCCCACCUCCCAGGCUGUCAGUUUGCUUCUCCUGUGCUUCUCCAUCGUCCUGUUGCAGCACCUCCUGACAUCAGGUUUGGGCAGCAUCCUGGUACACUGUUUUGCUGUCACACUGUGAACAAUCUCAAUAUUUUUUUUCUAUACAAUAACCUUUAUUAAGACUUUGCAUUACAACUAUUAUCAAGAGGAAUUAUUUUCAAGAGAUAGCCCAGAUCCCACCUUCUAUCUUAAAGUCCCGGACCUGUCAGUGCAGGUAUUUCUCAAGUACUGAUGGUGUCUUCUGUCCCUCAAGGUGUACUUGAGAACUGUAUUUUCAGUUUCUCAGAUCUCAUACAGAUAGUUCUUUCAUCUGCAUGUUGUUGCAUGCUUUCUGUCCUCUAGUGUCUUUCCUGUGUAGCUAUCUUCAUUAUCUCAAGCCUGUUAGUGCAGUUUUGCUAUGUACCAUGCCCCCCAGAUGAGAUAGGCUUUUCCUUAAGAGAGAUUCUUCCUGUACAAUUUUGGUGCCCUUGAGAAGAUGCCCUUAUUGAUCAUCCCUUUUGGAAGCAUUAGGAUGCUGCCUAUUAGCCCUUUCUGUUUUACCAUUAGUGAAAAUACCCCUGUAGCAACCAUUUGCCAUUUCAGAACUUAUCUCCAUGCAUAAACAGGUUUGUGGAGUACCUACGUUCAGAACACACCUGUUUUCCUCAUCUCUUUUCUGCACCCUUUUCUGCUCUAAUAAAUUCAUGGCAGGUGGCUUCAAACACGAGCUCUCCAAGUUCAGUAGCUGUUCCUCAGCCACUGACAUGGAGGAAGAGGAUUUUGGCACUUGGGUAUCAACCCAGAAGUGAGUCAUCUAGUUUGUAUAUAGUCUUCCUGUACUUGGACAGGCUUUGGUUAUCCUCCUGUUCCCGGACCAGCAAAUAUUUAAGAAGAGAAAUGUUUGCACUGGAAAAAAGUGUCUUAGGAUAUGUCUGAUGUGAUCCUCCAGCAGAUUAACAAGAUACAGUUCUGUGAUGAAGCAAUGAGCUUGAACAGGAAAUAUAUACAGCUGCUUCAUUUUAAUUCUCAAUGUUUUCAGUUCUACAGCUUCUCCAGCCGUUCUAGUUCUGCACGCUAGUUGGUUUUGUUGUCAUCUUUUAUGGAAGAUCAACUCCUUUAGAGGCUUCUUGUGCAGACUGAAAAUUCUGCAGGAGAACGUCGUGUUUCUAUUUGGAGGAUAGUUCUAUAUCCAUUACUUAAUCUGAAAAGGAACAGCAGGAUAAAUAAUCACAAACUGAUUUGAAGUGUUGAUCAGAAAAAGAAAUAGGAAGAUGAUAUUUACCCCAGGAGUCUGGAGAUGCUCAUGCUCUUGAGUUUUGUUGCAACACAGAAAUAAAGGGGUGCAGAGAGCUGAAGUUUGCUUGUGCUCCAGUGGACUGGGAGUGUCCUACAUGCAUCUUUUCUGCCUAGUCUGGCUUUCCUCAAGUGCAUGUUGUAGUCCUGAUCCUGACGCAGCUCUUUUGCCAUGCAGGAGGCUUCUGAGGAAGAUUGGAUCCAAAUUGAUGGAAGUCAUCCCAACUGACUUGGGCAGCGCUACGUCAGACCAUAAACCAGGCAUUGGCUUUCAUGUCCACCCUUCAGUGGAAGAAUGUGAUCUGGGAGCGUGCAGUGGAUGGAAGGGAUUUGGGAGGGCACCCGCUGCUCUCUGGGCAUUCUGUGCUCCUUCCAAUUCUGUGAAUAGUGUUCUGGGGAGUUGUUCCUGCAACUUUUCUCAUGCUGCAAACAGGUUCAUCUUUGUUCAGAGUGAAGCAGAAUCUGGUGUCCUGUCUCUGGCCCUAAAAUCCAUUUGCCCUUUGUUGGAGCUCUUCGUUGCCCCAUCAUCAGCUUGUCUGUAAGUGGAGGUGCAGGCACCCCAAGGAGCUGGAUGGUCUGAAGCACAAACAUCAACACUUAAUGGUUUUUUUCCAUCUAUAUUUAAGACUUCAAAUGGCUCCGCUCUAAAGCACAGUUGCCCUCCAGCUAACUGAAAAACAUGGAAUCAAUGUUAUCAAUAACUCCGAAGCACACAGAUCAGCAGUGGGUGUCAGAAGGGCUCCAGGUUUCAUGGGACCAUUGAAGAAACAGUCAAUUGCAAAUACAUCUAUGUGUGUUUUAGGCAAAGGUGGUCUCCAGUCCUUUCAAGCAGAAUUUCAAGUUGCUGAGCUCGUCCUCCAACACCACUUGGCACUACUCAGGGCAGCACUUCCAUCACCAGGGUCUGGCUCAGUAGAACAGUCCAUCUUUGCUCUCAUCAUUUGGCUCAGGCACACCUCAGCACCCAACAAAUUCUCUCAUUCCUACUGAAGAGAUGGGAAUCCGAUGUUCAUCCUGCAUACCCUGCUACACCUUCUGCCUCUGGGAGCAGCAAGCCUCCAUUUGCAAGAAGCGUGUUUGCUGCUUUUGUGGAAUUUAUUAAAGAUUUCUUUAAUAAAA